AUUCGCCCUUAGAGUUUGAUCCUGGCUCAGGACUAACGCUGGCGGCGUGCCUAAUACAUGCAAGUCGAACGGUCGUGCGUUUGUAGCAAUAUGGACGUACGAUAGUGGCGAACGGGUGAGUAACACGUGGAAAACCUACCCUCGAGCGGGGGAUAACUCCGGGAAACUGGGGCUAAUACCGCAUGACAUCCCAACCUGGCAUCGGGAGGGGAUCAAAGCCGAAAGGCACUUGAGGAUGGUUCCGCGGCCUAUCAGCUAGUUGGCGGGGUAACGGCCCACCAAGGCGACGACGGGUAGCCGGCCUGAGAGGGCGAUCGGCCACAAGGGGACUGAGACACGGCCCCUACUCCUACGGGAGGCAGCAGUAGGGAAUUUUGCUCAAUGGGGGAAACCCUGAAGCAGCGACGCCGCGUGGGCGACGAAAUCCUUCGGGAUGUAAAGCCCUUUUAACCGGGACGAAAUACAUGACGGUACCGGUGGAAUAAGCCUCGGCUAACUCCGUGCCAGCAGCCGCGGUAAGACGGGGGAGGCAAGCGUUGUCCGGAAUCACUGGGUGUAAAGGGCGUGUAGGCGGGCCGGCUAGUCGGUUGUUAAAUCUCUCCGCUCAACGGAGAAGCUGCGGCCGAUACUUCCGGUCUUGAGUGCGGCAGGGGAGGAUGGAAUUCCUGGUGUAGCGGUGAAAUGCGUAGAUAUCAGGAGGAACACCGGUGGCGAAGGCGGUCCUCUGGGCCUGCACUGACGCUGAGUGCGCGAAAGCUGGGGUAGCAAACAGAAUUAGAUACUCUGGUAGUCCCAGCCCUAAACGAUGG
Molecule: ribosomal RNA, 809 nt
Filed under: uncultured bacterium
Lineage: Bacteria
Description: bacterial SSU rRNA
Rfam family: Bacterial small subunit ribosomal RNA
Source: RNAcentral